Oncorhynchus tshawytscha (Chinook salmon) is the source of this 3313-nucleotide long non-coding RNA. Lineage: Eukaryota; Metazoa; Chordata; Actinopteri; Salmoniformes; Salmonidae. The record is from Ensembl.
CACUGAACAGCCCUCGGUGUGCGCCAUCUUCUAGCCACUGAACAGCCCUCGGUGUGCGCCAUCUUCUAGCCACUGAACAGCCCUCAGUGUGCGCCAUCUUCUAGCCACUGAACAGCCCUCAGUGUGCGCCAUCUUCUAGCCACUGAACAGCCCUCAGUGUGCACCAUUGUGGCGAUCUCGCCAAAAAUAACUGAAACAACAUUUCAAUUUGACAGGUGGGCUCACAUAUUGCAUCAUGUACAUCGCUACAUACAUACCAUUUACUAUAGCUAGAAUUGCAGCAUGUCCACCAACUCAUGGACAUUGUAAAAGGAGAUGGUUUGAGAGACAUCCCAUUUCAAGUAGUGUGAGUAAUACAUUUAUUUUUCCUGCUGGGAAAUGUACAUGUCAAAAUGUCAUCAAGUCGUUUUGAAAUGCAUUUUCAGUUGGCUACUUUAUUGCAGUAUAUUGAAAUCAUGGUCUUGUCACACAUUGAAAUGAUAAAUGCACCACAUGACUGGUCUGUGACAUUUCAUCAAACAGAAGAUGUCACCCUGUGUGUCUCUGCAGUUCUCCUAUUCUAGGCUCUCCUCUCCCUGUGAUGGUCUGUAACACCGUAAAGGUCUGUUCACUUGAUAUGCGCCACAACUGUAUUGCAUCGAGCCAACAAUGGCCACGGUAGGCUCUUUCUUGUAACUCUGAUCUUGCGCUGCACCCGACCAAGCAGCGCUCCACACCUUGUGCCAAUCAAGAGAACAGGCCUUAGAAACUCCUGACUAGCAGCUGAGGUCUUUUCUUAGGGGUAAAGAUCUCCACUACAUGUGUGGUGAGAUUUAUUAUUUCCGUUUCCUCUUUUGAGAUUCAAUAUACUCAAAUCCUAGCCUGGUCCCCCACUGCACAGAUGUAGGAUCUUAAUUUGAACCAGUUUGCUACAGCAGGAAAAUCAUCCUGCAGGAACUGGAAAUGUGGAUUAUUAUUAAUGGACAUUUGUGUAGGGAGUCAUUUGAUACAUUUUUAGGUGGAAAUCACAAACUUCAGAAUCCCUUUUAAACAUCAAAUACACUACACAAUUUACAUCUCCUGCAACAUCGUGAUCAAAUGAAGAUCUUACAUCUAUGUGCUGUAGCUAGCUCUUCUAUUGUUGUCAAGCCAUACAUGUUGUCACGACAAUGAACGCAAACACACAGGAGUUGGCUAAAGCACAAACGGACUGGAGCACCAGGCUACUAUCCCUGUAGCACCAGGCUACUAUCCCUGUAGCACCAGGCUACUAUCCCUGUAGCCCCUAGUCACUUCCCCUAGCCCCUAGUCACUUCCCCUAGCCCCUGAAGGACCUGCAUAUAGGAGGGAGCAGUACUCUGCUGACUGUAAAAAUAAUCCACGUUUGAUUCGAUCACAACUUGUGCACUGCUUUUUUUUUUGCCAAAUUCCUUAAACCUCAACUACCACUUUAAUAUAAGUAAUCCUAUAGAAACCAUAUGAGGAGAGAUCUAUAUUUAACUUUGAAUGACUCCUAGUGAGGUGAUAUUUUUAAUGCAGAGCCAUCAGAUUUAUUAACAGUUAUAACUUGUAUCAUAGCAACUGUAUAUUUUUGUAAAAGAUCACCUCAAACAUUACUGUAUUAAGCAAUCUUUUUUUUUUCACUGAACAAAAGAGGUCGGGGUAUUUUUGGAUGGUUCUCUGUGGUUCCAUUGCGUUAGACAGUUUUUGUUGCAGGGCCUGUUCUGUGUGUGGACUGUUAUCUGUGUGUGAGAGAGAGUAAAUGAGAUUCUGUAUUUGACUAUUGGGGUUGGUACAGUCGUAUCGUGAUGUACUGUAGAGAUGAUUAUUUCUGUCACGUAACCUGUCAUUCUGUCAUGUCAGUCAAAGAAUGAACAACACUGCUGCUGCAUAGAAGCAACAUUAACACUGUAAUCUGUCAUUGUUUCAGUGGACAUUUACAGAUGUGUCAAACUAAACAAUGAAACUAUAUCUGAUUGUGUGUAAUACCUCUGGUCUGUGUCUCUGGCCUACAGUAGUGGUUAGUGUUGUCUGUUGUAAAGUGUUUGCAACUUUCAUCUGCAAUUCAGGAUGCUAAACUACACUGAAGUGCUGUAUCUGUUUGGUUUGGAAAGAGUGACUCAUUUUGAAGAAGAGAUGGAAAGUGAGUAGAUAAAAUGAAAUAGCAUAAUGAAGAAUUCCCUGUUUAGCUGCUAUGCACUUCUAAACUCUUCAUGAAGGCUUUAUGAAUGAAAAAUGCACUUAAAUGCUUUUGGAGCUCUCAGUGAUUUCAGCCUUUUUAACUUAAAAGAUUCAGCUGAGAAAACGCACUCUGCUUUAAUUUCUAUGCUAUUUGCUGUGUGGGGUAAUCGGCUCAAUGGCUCUAUGGUUUCUACAAAUGCAGCUUUAUUUCUCUAAAUGAUGUUCUGAAUAAAAUGUCCUGUGAAAUGAUAUUUCUCCCACUGUGUGGAUUUGACUUACAUGGCAUGUGAGUACAUGGCUGUCUGAGGAAUGACUGGCCUUUGUUCAUAUAACCAGGCUUUUCCUGUUUUAUGUUUGUGAGCAUCUGGACGGGACACAACGAUUCCACAACAACCAAAAGACAGUAUGGUGGAUUGUACUUGCAGUACAUCGCAACCCUUUACCAGCAGAUAACAAUAUGGUUUACAUUGACAAUACUUAUGUCUAGAUAACAUGGCUCAAAUCAUAUAUACAUUUUUAUGAAAUCUAAAUUGUGAUUUGAAUUGGUAUGUUGGUGGCAGCGAGCGGUGGGUUAUUGACUGAUUGGGUCUACAGGGGUACUUCCCAUCCCCCAGUAGGUCAGUGAUGUGAGCACUAGCAUUUUGUUAAUGGUGUCAUCCAGCCCAGUAAUGUCAUUGGGGUAACAACUGCCAGAUGCCUCGUGCAACAGGGGCCUGUUCAACGAAACAGAAUGUUCUGAUAAAAAAUGUGUUGUCUCAUGUACCAUUGUCAUGUACACAAAACAAAAAUAUAAACGCAACAUGUAAAGUGUUGGUCCCAUUUUCAUGAGCUGAAAUGAAACAACUAAAACCAGAAAAAAAAAGUAAUGGAACAAUUACAUUUUUUAAAUACGAUAGUCUUAGAGAACAAAUGAUCAGGAUUCAUCUAAAAUGUAAAAAAUGUCAUGGCAUUGAAUUUGUUCCCAUAUCUGAGUCACUCAGAUUCUCUAAGAACAAGGCAAAGCCAUGAGAAAAUGUGUAUUUUUUGAAGAAAAUUGGCUUUAAAACUGAACGUGUUCUCAGCCGCAUGGUGCGGCAGGUAGCCUAGUGGUUAGAGCGUUGGGACAGUAACCAGCAGGUAGCCUAGUGGUUAGAGCGUUGGGACAGUAACCAGC